Molecule: long non-coding RNA, 182 nt
Organism: Rhinichthys klamathensis goyatoka
Lineage: Eukaryota; Metazoa; Chordata; Actinopteri; Cypriniformes; Leuciscidae
Exons: 3
Source: RefSeq, a predicted model, not a curated record
UUGCAUGUUAUGUUCUAGAAGAUCAUCAUGCUGAUGGCCUGCUGCACCCCGUCCAAGACAAUCUCCACGGCUAUGAACUCGACUAGUGUGUUUUUAAUUAUGUUGGCCAAUGAGACAGACACCAUACUGUCCAACUCAAAGAUAAGAUAUAAUCAUUUGACCCUGUGAUUCUUCAGGACCAG